Molecule: long non-coding RNA, 295 nt
Filed under: Salmo salar (Atlantic salmon)
Lineage: Eukaryota; Metazoa; Chordata; Actinopteri; Salmoniformes; Salmonidae
Description: lncRNA (ENSSSAG00000104330.1)
Source: RNAcentral
UCUGGGGACUGGAGGAACUCAUAGGUCAGCUGUUGGAUGUGGAGCCUGGCUCUGGGGACUGGAGGAACUCAUAGGUCAGCUGUUGGAUGUGGAGCCUGGCUCUGGGGACUGGAGGAACUCAUAGGUUAGCUGUUGGAUGUGGAGCCUGGCUCUGGGGACUGGAGGAACUCAUAGGUCAGCUGUUGGAUGUGGAGCCUGGCUCAGGAGACUGGAGGAACUCAUAGGUCAGCUGUUGGAUGUGGAGCCUGGCUCUGGGGACUGGAGGAACUCAUAGGUCAGCUGUUGGAUGUGGAGC